UAGAAACGUGUUUUGUUUUGAAAAAGGAGAAGGUUGAUCGCUCCGGCGCGGCGGUGCCACCACCGGCCACCGCGCCGGAACUUGUUGUUUCGACGGAGAAGAAGGAGGAGGAAGGCGGCACGGCUUCAUCUUUCUAGAGAGAGGGGAGAGCUUCUCUCUCUAGAGGAAGGAAGAAAGAGAAAAGAAAGAAACAAAUGAAAUAAACCGGGAUCUAACUUUAUAUAUAGAACUUUAAACCGGACCGGUUUAUUUUCGGUUCUUUCCUUUCUCUCUUGAUCGCUAGAUUAAUCCAACGCUUUCUGUGCUUCCAGGCUUUCUGAUUUUGGGUUGGGCCUAUU
This 338-nucleotide long non-coding RNA is filed under the name Medicago truncatula (barrel medic). Its description in RNAcentral is "long non-coding RNA (MTRU_LNC006747)". The record is from RNAcentral. Lineage: Eukaryota; Viridiplantae; Streptophyta; Magnoliopsida; Fabales; Fabaceae.